This 23-nucleotide non-coding RNA is filed under the name Arabidopsis thaliana (thale cress). The record is from RNAcentral. Lineage: Eukaryota; Viridiplantae; Streptophyta; Magnoliopsida; Brassicales; Brassicaceae.
CAGAGAAGAGAUCUCAAGUGUGA